AGAGUUUGAUCAUGGCUCAGGAUGAACGCUGGCGGCGUGCCUAACACAUGCAAGUCGAGCGAUUCUCUUCGGAGAAGAGCGGCGGACGGGUGAGUAACGCGUGGGUAACCUGCCCUGUACACACGGGUAACAUACCGAAAGGUAUGCUAAUACGAGAUAAUAUGCUUUUAUCGCAUGAUAGAAGUAUCAAAGCUCAGGCGGUACAGGAUGGACCCGCGUCUGAUUAGCUAGUUGGUAAGGUAACGGCUUACCAAGGCGACGAUCAGUAGCCGACCUGAGAGGGUGAUCGGCCACAUUGGAACUGAGACACGGUCCAAACUCCUACGGGAGGCAGCAGUGGGGAAUAUUGCACAAUGGGCGAAAGCCUGAUGCAGCAACGCCGCGUGAGCGAUGAAGGCCUUCGGGUCGUAAAGCUCUGUCCUCAAGGAAGAUAAUGACGGUACUUGAGGAGGAAGCCCCGGCUAACUACGUGCCAGCAGCCGCGGUAAUACGUAGAGGGCUAGCGUUAUCCGGAAUUACUGGGCGUAAAGGGUGCGUAGGUGGUUUCUUAAGUCAGAGGUGAAAGGCUACGGCUCAACCGUAGUAAGCCUUUGAAACUGGGAAACUUGAGUGCAGGAGAGGAGAGUGGAAUUCCUAGUGUAGCGGUGAAAUGCGUAGAUAUUAGGAGGAACACCAGUUGCGAAGGCGGCUCUCUGGACUGUAACUGACACUGAGGCACGAAAGCGUGGGGAGCAAACAGGAUUAGAUACCCUGGUAGUCC
Molecule: ribosomal RNA, 760 nt
Filed under: uncultured bacterium
Lineage: Bacteria
Description: bacterial SSU rRNA
Rfam family: Bacterial small subunit ribosomal RNA
Source: RNAcentral